This 253-nucleotide ribosomal RNA is filed under the name uncultured bacterium. RNAcentral describes it as "partial 16S ribosomal RNA". It matches the Rfam family "Bacterial small subunit ribosomal RNA", at positions 524 to 776 of the family's 1533-position model. The record is from RNAcentral.
UACAGAGGGUGCAAGCGUUGUUCGGAAUUAUUGGGCGUAAAGCGCGUGUAGGCGGCUUGGCAAGUCAGAUGUGAAAGCCCUCGGCUUAACCGAGGAAGUGCGUCUGAAACUGCUGAGCUUGAGUCUCGGAGAGGAUGGCGGAAUUCCGCAAGUAGAGGUGAAAUUCGUAGAUAUGCGGAGGAACACCGGUGGCGAAGGCGGCCAUCUGGACGAGUACUGACGCUGAGACGCGAAAGCAUGGGGAGCAAACAGG